UUCCCUACCGAGGAAUCAACCGGGGGUCUUCUGCAUUGUAGGUGGAUUCUUUACCAACUGAGCUACCAGGGA
RNAcentral lists this transfer RNA (72 nucleotides) under Haemonchus contortus (barber pole worm). Its description in RNAcentral is "tRNA, Pseudo". Lineage: Eukaryota; Metazoa; Nematoda; Chromadorea; Rhabditida; Trichostrongylidae. The record is from RNAcentral.